Vitis vinifera (wine grape) is the source of this 3943-nucleotide RNA transcript. It is a transcript of the gene named putative disease resistance protein RGA3, with no coding region annotated. The record is from RefSeq and is a predicted model, not a curated record. NCBI's taxonomy places the organism in Eukaryota, Viridiplantae, Streptophyta, Magnoliopsida, Vitales, Vitaceae. The transcript is spliced from 3 exons.
UGAAAUAGUUACAUAAUAUUUAAAAUAUUUACAUAAUAUUCCAAAAUAAGGCAAAAAAACUGAGGUCAGUGGGGCAUGUGACAUGUCAUCGGUAGAGCCGCGUCAAAAAUUUAAUAUAGAAGGAAAAUUUAAGUAUGGUGCCCCACCACCGUCCUACAAAAGUAUAGACCAUAAUUAAAGUAUUGAACUCACUAAACCUGCAGAUCGUACCUCUUCAUCUCACUCGCCUUUAUUCAUCCUCCAUUCCUCUUCAUUCAUCAAUCCCACCUUCUUCACCCUCCCCAUGGCUGAUACCCUCGUUUCUAUUGUGCUGGAACGCUUAACUUCGGUUGUUGAACAGCAGAUUCAUGAACAAGUUUCUCUGGUUCCGGGUGUUGAAUCAGAAAUUCGAAGUCUCAAAAGCACACUCCGCUCCGUCCGAGAUGUUCUUGAAGAUGCCGAGAGGAGAAAAGUGAAGGAAAAAUCUGUCCAAGGUUGGUUGGAGAGGCUCAAAGACAUGGCCUACGAAAUGAUGGACGUGCUGGAUGAGUGGAGCAUUGCUAUUUUUCAAUUCCAGAUGGAGGGAGUUGAAAAUGCUUCCACGUCUAAGACGAAGGUAAGCUUCUGUAUGCCCUCCCCCUUCAUCCGUUUCAAGCAAGUUGCAAGUGAACGGACCGAUUUUAAUUUUGUCUCUAGUAGGAGUGAGGAGCGACCACAGCGACUUAUAACUACCUCUGCAAUUGAUAUUUCAGAGGUGUACGGUCGGGAUAUGGAUGAAAAAAUCAUAUUAGACCAUUUGUUGGGUAAGAUGCGUCAAGGGAAAUCUGGCCUCUACAUCGUGUCCAUAUUUGGGACGGGAGGCAUGGGCAAAACAACUCUUGCUCGACUAGCCUACAACCACCGAAAGGUGAAGACCCAUUUUGAUGAAAGAAUAUGGGUCUGUGUCUCUGAUCCUUUUGAGCCAGCCAGAAUUUUUAGGGAUAUUGUUGAAAUCAUCCAGAAAGCGUCUCCUAAUCUCCACAAUUUGGAAGCUUUACAACAAAAAGUUCAAACGUGUGUCUCUGGAAAGACGUUCCUUCUUGUGCUAGAUGAUGUGUGGACUGAAGACAAUCAAUUGUGGGAACAACUGAAGAACACCCUCCACUGCGGAGCAGCAGGGAGUAGAAUUCUGGCGACCACACGCAAAGAGAGUGUUGUUAAGAUGAUGAGAACUACGUACAAGCAUCCCUUGGGGGAGCUGUCUUUGGAGCAAUCUCGGGCAUUAUUCCAUCAAAUAGCUUUUUCUGAAAGGGAGAAAGAGGAAGAAUUAAAAGAAAUUGGUGAGAAAAUAGCAGACAAAUGCAAGGGCUUGCCCCUCGCUAUAAAAACUUUAGGGAACCUCUUGCGCAUAAAAAAUAGCGAGGAAGAAUGGAAGUACGUAUUGAAUAGUGAAGUAUGGCAGCUAGAUGAGUUUGAGAGAGAUAUUUCCCCUGCUUUGUUGUUGAGUUAUUAUGAUCUGCCCCCUGCAAUUCAACGCUGCUUCUCAUUUUGUGCUGUUUUUCCAAAAGCCUCUGUUAUUGAGAGAGAUGAGCUGAUCAAGUUGUGGAUGGCACAAAGCUAUCUCAAAUCUGAUGGGAGUAAAGAGAUGGAGAUGAUUGGGAGAACGUACUUUGAAUAUUUAGCUGCUCGGUCUUUCUUCCAAGAUUUUGAAAAAGAUACUGAUGGUAAUAUAAUACGUUGUAAGAUGCAUGAUAUAGUGCAUGAUUUUGCUCAAUUUUUGACUCAGAAUGAAUGCUUUAUUGUGGAGGUUGACAACCAACAAAUGGAGAGCAUAGAUUUAUCCUUCAAAAAGAUUCGUCAUAUCACCUUAGUUGUCCGAGAGAGUACCCCUAAUUUUGUCUCCACUUAUAACAUGAAGAAUCUACACACCCUCUUGGCUAAGGAAGCAUUCAAGUCAAGUGUUCUUGUAGCCUUACCUAAUUUGUUAAGGCAUUUGACAUGUCUCAGGGCAUUGGAUUUGAGCAGCAAUCAGUUGAUUGAGGAACUUCCUAAGGAGGUAGGAAAAUUGAUACAUUUAAGAUUCCUUAAUCUAUCAGGGUGUUUUUGGUUGAGAGAGUUGCCUGAAACAAUUUGUGAUUUAUAUAAUUUGCAAACCUUAAAUAUUCAAGGAUGUUCCAGUCUUCGGAAACUACCACAGGCAAUGGGUAAACUAAUUAAUUUGAGGCAUCUUGAAAAUUCUUUUCUUAAUAAUAAGGGCUUGCCAAAAGGAAUUGGAAGAUUAAGCUCUCUUCAAACGCUGAAUGUUUUCAUUGUGAGUAGUCAUGGCAAUGAUGAAGGCCAAAUAGGAGACCUGAGAAACUUGAACAACCUAAGAGGAGAUCUUUCCAUUCAAGGGUUGGAUGAAGUGAAAGAUGCAGGGGAGGCAGAAAAAGCAGAAUUGAAGAAUAAGGUACACCUCCAAGAUUUGACAUUGGGAUUUGAUAGAGAGGAGGGGACCAAGGGUGUGGCUGAAGCUCUACAACCCCAUCCAAACUUGAAAGCUCUACAUAUAUAUUAUUAUGGUGACAGAGAGUGGCCCAAUUGGAUGAUGGGUUCAUCAUUAGCUCAACUAAAAAUACUUAACCUCAAGUUUUGCGAAAGAUGUCCAUGUUUGCCUCCUUUGGGGCAACUGCCUGUCCUCGAGGAGCUGGGGAUAUGGAAAAUGUACGGUGUGAAAUACAUAGGUAGUGAGUUUUUGGGAUCAUCAUCAACAGUAUUCCCAAAGCUGAAGGAAUUGGCUAUUUCUGGUUUGGAUAAAUUGAAGCAAUGGGAAAUAAAAGAAAAAGAAGAGAGGUCAAUAAUGCCAUGUCUCAAUCACUUGAUUAUGAGAGGCUGCCCAAAGCUGGAGGGACUGCCGGGCCACGUGCUCCAGAGGACAACAUUGCAGAUAUUGAACAUCAGAUCUUCUCCUAUUCUGGAACGACGCUAUCGAAAGGAUAUCGGAGAGGAUCGACACAAAAUAUCUCAUAUCCCACAAGUCAAAUGUAGAUGCGACUGAAUGGUCAUCUCACUUCACCUCAUGUCGCUCUUGUUACAGGCUUCUCCAUUGAAGAGUAAGAGACGUUGAGGAAGACAACGGUUGGCGACGAACGGCGGCGGAUUGGGCGAUGCCGAAUUAUUCAUGGCGGUGAAGGGGCGGAGUCUCCAAUGAUUAGUGCCGAGAACAGCUUCCGGGAUGGUGGUGAUGAGGCAGUAACCAGCCAUGGCGGUGGGUUUGGUUGUGGUGGGAGAUUUCUUCACCCAAAGGUCAGUGUUGAUCUAUUCAAAAUCAUAACAAGAAAACCCUAAAAGAAGAUCAAAGCCGGAGCCAGUGUUGGAUUACUACAUAGCACAGGGACAAAAUUAAGAAAAUAGAGAAAAAGGUCUUCAAUGAUUAAGAGUAUGGAUUAACCAAGAAAGCAUUGUCAAUUUCAACUAUUUUUAGGGGAAAUAGAAGAAUAUAUGAUGCCAAAUAAUUAACAGAAAAUAAAUAAAUCAGUAAUUACCAAAAUGUGUGGACUAUUCAGAGGUAUUUUUUUAGGGCAAGACAAUCGUAGAUGCACAAAGUCUACAGCUGCGUCAUCCGGAGCAAGCAGUCCGGCAAGGGCCUCUAGCUUGGGGCAUUUCUCCACUGUCAAUGAACAGAGACAUGGCAUUAUUGCAACAUGGAAAAUGGAUGACAACAACCCAACAACCAGGGUUUGCUUUCUUUGCCAACUCAGACCAGAUCAUCCUUAGCUGGUGAGUACAUAAAUAAAUACAUAAGCAAAAUAAUAAGUGGGUAACAUCUACUCCCCUUAAUACCCUUUGUUGUUUUUUUUCUUUUAAUUAAUAUAAGCACACUUAAUGUAAACAUCUAUUCCCUAUUUGUUUAGUUGUAUACCAAUUUAUUACUUGUAACAAAAUCACUUUUUCAAAUGCUAAUUCAUUAGUCCACUUUCCUUAUUUAAAUAAUUUUAGGCAUAAA